Long non-coding RNA from Nasonia vitripennis (jewel wasp), 947 nucleotides. RefSeq lists it as uncharacterized. The record is from RefSeq and is a predicted model, not a curated record. NCBI's taxonomy places the organism in Eukaryota, Metazoa, Arthropoda, Insecta, Hymenoptera, Pteromalidae. The transcript is spliced from 2 exons.
ACUUUUUACGCCGCGAGAAAGUAGAAAAAUGCGUUUUUCUUGUAAGAUAUUGAUCUGAGAACAUUGAAACCACUGCGAAUCGUUUGUAAAUUAAUUACCGAUUCUGUAAAUAUUGCCUUUAUUGCGUUAUUCGCUAUAGAUACUGAUUAAUAAAUUAAUUAUUUUUUCGUCAACUAUGCUACACCAAUUCGGGCGGUUCGUGUACCAUAUUCCGUUCGAUGAUUCGAAUCAGCUGUUCCUAUAUCGUUACGCACGUGUACUGCAGUGACUAUAUAAUAUACGACAACAACAAUAAGUCGGUUUGUGCAAGUGCAUCGCGGAUUCAGAAGUGUGUACAGUGCAGCGAUGGUCUCCUGGUGCAACGGCCUCUUCAGGGAGUAUUGGCUUUCAAUCUUAUUCUAACUUUAAUAAGUCCAGAAGUAGUGAAAGUGUAAAUUACUAGUAAUCUUCAAUAACACCAAUCAGUCUACAUGCCAUUAGAUCAUACUUGGAUAGAAGAGCUUACCGUUGUAGCUACUACUGUUAUAACUACAGGUAUGUCCUAUCGUACAAAACAUUUUGAACCUUCAAUGGCUAACUUAUAACAAAUAUUAGGUGCUUCAAAACAUUGUAAUCAGGGUGACCAGACCUGUCGUCACUUACUAUCAUUAUAUUACAAAAAAUAUUAAUUGAGAUUACAUAAUAAUUUCUUUGUUGAUUUUUGAAAUAUCUGAAAUCGUAAACAUCUCACCACAUUACUAAAUAAUCACAUAAAUAACAUUUGGCCAGGUCUGGUCACCUGGCUCAUUGAAAUAUCUUGUGCAACAUACUAAUUCAUUUAUUUUUCAUCGAACGAGCAAACUGUUCCUGCAUAAGUUCCUGCAUCACUGAUGUCUCACCGGUAUCCACUCUUAUUUGUGCUGCUGCGCGUAUUCACUGGAGUGAAGUCUUCAAUACUUAUUGAAUUA